This 395-nucleotide ribosomal RNA is filed under the name uncultured bacterium. RNAcentral's name for it is "bacterial SSU rRNA". It matches the Rfam family "Bacterial small subunit ribosomal RNA", at positions 505 to 898 of the family's 1533-position model. The record is from RNAcentral.
GUGUCAGCAGCCGCGGUAAGACGAGGGGUCCUAGCGUUGUUCGGAAUCAUUGGGCGUAAAGCGUGUGUAGGCGGCCUUGCAAGUCAGUUGUGAAAGCCCCGGGCUUAACCCGGGAAGUGCUUCUGAUACUGCUUGGCUUGAGUACUGGAGAGGAUAGUGGAAUUCCUGGUGUAGUGGUGAAAUACGUAGAUAUCAGGAGGAACACCGGUGGCGAAGGCGGCUAUCUGGCCAUGUACUGACGCUGAGACACGAAAGCGUGGGGAGCAAACAGGAUUAGAUACCCUGGUAGUCCACGCCGUAAACGAUGGAUACUUGGUGUUGGAGGUAUUGACCCCUUCAGUGCCGAAGCAAACGCGUUAAGUAUCCCGCCUGGGGAGUACGGCCGCAAGGUUAAA